Molecule: ribosomal RNA, 252 nt
Filed under: uncultured bacterium
Lineage: Bacteria
Description: partial 16S ribosomal RNA
Rfam family: Bacterial small subunit ribosomal RNA
Source: RNAcentral
UACGUAGGUGGCAAGCGUUGUCCGGAAUUAUUGGGCGUAAAGCGCGCGCAGGCGGUUAUGUUAGUCUGAUGUUAAAGGCCGAGGCUCAACCUCGGUUCGCGUUGGAAACUGUGUCACUUGAGUGCAGAAGAGGAAAGUGGUAUUCCACGUGUAGCGGUGAAAUGCGUAGAGAUGUGGAGGAACACCAGGGGCGAAGGCGAGUUUCUGGUCUGUAACUGACGCUGAGGCGCGAAAGCGUGGGGAGCAAACAGG